Molecule: long non-coding RNA, 1479 nt
Filed under: Macaca fascicularis (crab-eating macaque)
Lineage: Eukaryota; Metazoa; Chordata; Mammalia; Primates; Cercopithecidae
Description: lncRNA (ENSMFAG00000051112.1)
Source: RNAcentral
UUGCCUGAUUGCCCUAGCCAGAACUUCCAACACUAUGUUGAAUAGGAGUGGUGAGAGAGGGCAUCCCUGUCUUGUGCUAGUUUUCAAAGGGAAUUUUUCCAGUUUUUGCCCAUUCAGUAUGAUAUUGGCUGUGGGUUUGUCAUAUAGCUCUUAUUAUUUUGAGGUACGUUCCAUCAAUACCGAAUUUAUUGAGCGUUUUUAGCAUGAAGGGCUGUUGAAUUUUGUCAAAAGCCUUUUCUGCAUCAAUUGAGAUAAUCAUGUGGUUCUUGUCUUUGGUUCUGUUUAUAUGCUGGAUUAUGUUUAUUGAUUUGCGAAUGUUGAACCAGCCUUGCAUCCCAGGGAUGAAGCCCACUUGAUCAUGGUGGAUAAGCUUUUGAUGUGUUGCUGAAUCCGGUUUGCCAGUAUUUUAUUGAGGAUUUUUGCAUCGAUGUUCAUCAGGGAUAUUGGUCUAAAAUUCUCUUUUUUAGUUGUGUCUCUGCCAGGCUUUGGUAUCAGGAUGAUGUUGGCCUCAUAAAAUGAGUUAGGGAGGAUUCCCUCUUUUUCUAUUGAUUGGAAUAGUUUCAGAAGGAAUGGUACCAACUCCUCUUUGUACCUCUGGUAGAAUUCGGCUGUGAAUCCAUCUGGUCCUGGACUUUUUUUGGUUGGUAGGCUAUUAAUUGUUGCCUCAAUUUCAGAGCCUGCUAUUGGUCUAUUCAGGGAUUCAACUUCUUCCUGGUUUAGUCUUGGAAGAGUGUAAGUGUCCAGGAAAUUAUCCAUUUCUUCUAGAUUUUCCAGUUUAUUUGCGUAGAGGUGUUUAUAGUAUUCUCUGAUGGUAGUUUGUAUUUCUGUGGGGUCGGUGGUGAUAUCCCCUUGAUCAUUUUUAAUUGCAUCGAUUUGAUUCUUCUCUCUUUUCUUCUUUAUUAGUCUGGCUAGUGGUCUGUCAAUUUUGUUGAUCUUUUCAAAAACCAACUCCUGGAUUCAUUGAUUUUUUGGAGGGUUUUUGUGUGUCUAUCUCCUUCAGUUCUGCUCUGAUCUUAGUUAUUUCUUGCCUUCUGCUAGCUUUCGAAUGUGUUUGCUCUUGCUUCUCUAGUUCUUUUAAUUGCGAUGUUAGAGUGUCAAUUUUACAUCUUUCCUGCUUUCUCUUGUGGGCAUUUAGUGCUAUAAAUUUCCCUCUACACACUGCUUUAAAUGUGUCCCAGAGAUUCUGGUAUGAUGUAUCUUUGUUCUCAUUGGUUUCCAAGAACAUCUUUAUUUCUGCCUUCAUUUCGUUAUGUACCCAGUAGUCAUUCAGGAGCAGGUUGUUCAGUUUCCAUGUAGUUGAGCGGUUUUGAGUGAGUUUCUUAGUCCUGAGUUCUAGUUUGAUUGCACUGUGGUCUGAGAGACAGUUUGUUAUAAUUUCUGUUCUUGUACAUUUGCUGAGGAGUGCUUUACUUCCAAUUACAUGGUCAAUUUUGGAGUAAGUAUGAUGUGGUGCUGAGAAGAAUGUAUAUUCUGUUGAUU